CUGGCUCAGGAUGAACGCUGGCGGCGUGCUUAACACAUGCAAGUCGAACGAAGCAGUUAUACGAUCCCUCGGGGUGACGAUUACUGACUGAGUGGCGGACGGGUGAGUAACGCGUGGGUAACCUGCCUUGUACAGGGGGACAACAGUUGGAAACGACUGCUAAUACCGCAUAAGCGCACGGUGUCGCAUGACACAGUGUGAAAAGUAUUUUCGGUACAAGAUGGACCCGCGUCUGAUUAGCUAGUUGGUGAGGUAACGGCCCACCAAGGCGACGAUCAGUAGCCGACCUGAGAGGGUGACCGGCCACAUUGGGACUGAGACACGGCCCAAACUCCUACGGGAGGCAGCAGUGGGGAAUAUUGCACAAUGGGCGAAAGCCUGAUGCAGCGAACCGCCGCGUGAGCGAAGAAGUAUUUCGGUAUGUAAAGCUCUAUCAGCAGGGAAGAUAAUGACGGUACCUGACUAAGAAGCACCGGCUAAAUACGUGCCAGCAGCCGC
RNAcentral lists this ribosomal RNA (498 nucleotides) under uncultured bacterium. RNAcentral's name for it is "bacterial SSU rRNA". It matches the Rfam family "Bacterial small subunit ribosomal RNA", at positions 19 to 518 of the family's 1533-position model. The record is from RNAcentral.